This 497-nucleotide ribosomal RNA is filed under the name uncultured bacterium. Its description in RNAcentral is "partial 16S ribosomal RNA". It matches the Rfam family "Bacterial small subunit ribosomal RNA", at positions 28 to 507 of the family's 1533-position model. The record is from RNAcentral.
GAUGAACGCUGGCGGCGUGCCUAAUACAUGCAAGUCGAGCGAACGGACGAGAAGCUUGCUUCUCUGAUGUUAGCGGCGGACGGGUGAGUAACACGUGGAUAACCUACCUAUAAGACUGGGAUUACUUCGGGAAACCGGAGCUAAUACCGGAUGAUAUUUUGAACCGCAUGGUUCAAAAGUGAAAGACGGUCUUGCUGUCACUUAUAGAUGGAUCCGCGCUGCAUUAGCUAGUUGGUAAGGUAACGGCUUACCAAGGCAACGAUGCAUAGCCGACCUGAGAGGGUGAUCGGCCACACUGGAACUGAGACACGGUCCAGACUCCUACGGGAGGCAGCAGUAGGGAAUCUUCCGCAAUGGGCGAAAGCCUGACGGAGCAACGCCGCGUGAGUGAUGAAGGUCUUCGGAUCGUAAAACUCUGUUAUUAGGGAAGAACAUAUGUGUAAGUAACUGUGCACAUCUUGACGGUACCUAAUCAGAAAGCCACGGCUAACUACGUG